UUAUUUCAAAGAGGUUUGGAUUUACAGCCUACAAAUGCUACUGAAGCUGAUGCAAACAACUGCUUAUCGAUGUCCAACAGAAAAGCAUCUCCAAAAUCCAAAAACAAAAUGCAUAUCGCUGACAAGAAUCCAGUUAUUCAUACAAACUUAAACUCUUUUGCUGCACUUUCAAACUUCAAUAUUAACGAGGGAAUCUUCACUGGAGACAAAUUGCAAAUGGCCAAGGAAACAAGUGCAAUCAUUUCAGCAGAGGAAAGAAGACUAUUGG
Molecule: long non-coding RNA, 268 nt
Filed under: Nicotiana benthamiana
Lineage: Eukaryota; Viridiplantae; Streptophyta; Magnoliopsida; Solanales; Solanaceae
Description: long non-coding RNA (NBEN_LNC011323)
Source: RNAcentral